This 254-nucleotide ribosomal RNA is filed under the name uncultured prokaryote. RNAcentral's name for it is "partial 16S ribosomal RNA". It matches the Rfam family "Bacterial small subunit ribosomal RNA", at positions 524 to 776 of the family's 1533-position model. The record is from RNAcentral.
UACGGGGGGAGCAAGCGUUGUUCGGAUUUACUGGGCGUAAAGGGCGCGUAGGCGGUCAGCACAAGUCAGUUGUGAAAUCUCCGGGCUUAACUCAGAACGGUCAAGUGAUACUGCUGUGCUAGAGUGCGGAAGGGGCAAUCGGAAUUCUUGGUGUAGCGGUGAAAUGCGUAGAUAUCAAGAGGAACACCUGAGGUGAAGACGGGUUGCUGGGCCGACACUGACGCUGAUGCGCGAAAGCCAGGGGAGCAAACGGG